CUGGGUCCAAACCCUGUACGUUGGACACACUGUGCAUGUUGAUGUGGUGUCCGUACGGGUUCAUGACUGACGCGAACGGCUGUGUGGUCUGUCAGUGUCAGCUCAACCCCGACACGGAUUUUACGAACCUUUUGCAAGGGUGAGGCCCUUGCAGAUGGAUGGGU
Long non-coding RNA from Branchiostoma belcheri (Belcher's lancelet), 164 nucleotides. RefSeq lists it as uncharacterized. The record is from RefSeq and is a predicted model, not a curated record. Lineage: Eukaryota; Metazoa; Chordata; Leptocardii; Amphioxiformes; Branchiostomatidae. The transcript is spliced from 3 exons.